This 1347-nucleotide ribosomal RNA is filed under the name uncultured bacterium. RNAcentral's name for it is "bacterial SSU rRNA". It matches the Rfam family "Bacterial small subunit ribosomal RNA", at positions 28 to 1381 of the family's 1533-position model. The record is from RNAcentral.
GACGAACGCUGGCGGCGUGCUUAACACAUGCAAGUUGAACGAUGAAGCCUAGCUUGCUAGGUGGAUUAGUGGCGAACGGGUGAGUAAUACGUGAGUAACCUACCUUUAACUCUGGGAUAAGCCUGGGAAACUGGGUCUAAUACCGGAUACGACCAAUCUCCGCAUGGGGUGUUGGUGGAAAGCGUUAUGUAGUGGUUAUAGAUGGGCUCACGGCCUAUCAGCUUGUUGGUGAGGUAACGGCUCACCAAGGCGACGACGGGUAGCCGGCCUGAGAGGGUGACCGGCCACACUGGGACUGAGACACGGCCCAGACUCCUACGGGAGGCAGCAGUGGGGAAUAUUGCACAAUGGGCGCAAGCCUGAUGCAGCGGCGCCGCGUGAGGGAUGACGGCCUUCGGGUUGUAAACCUCUGUUAGCAGGGAAGAAGAGAAAUUGACGGUACCUGCAGAGAAAGCGCCGGCUAACUACGUGCCAGCAGCCGCGGUAAUACGUAGGGCGCGAGCGUUGUCCGGGAUUAUUGGGACGUAAGAGCUUGUANGCGGUUUGUCGCGUCUGCUGUGAAGGCCGGGGCUUAACCCCGUGUAUUGCAGUGGGUACGGGCAGACUAGAGUGCAGUAGGGGAGACUGGAACUCCUGGUGUAGCGGUGGAAUGCGCAGAUAUCAGGAAGAACACCGAUGGCGAAGGCAGGUCUCUGGGCUGUAACUGACGCUGAGAAGCGAAAGCAUGGGGAGCGAACAGGAUUAGAUACCCUGGUAGUCCAUGCCGUAAACGUUGGGCACUAGGUGUGGGGGACAUUCCACGUUUUCCGCGCCGUAGCUAACGCAUUAAGUGCCCCGCCUGGGGAGUACGGCCGCAAGGCUAAAACUCAAAGAAAUUGACGGGGGCCCGCACAAGCGGCGGAGCAUGCGGAUUAAUUCGAUGCAACGCGAAGAACCUUACCAAGGCUUGACAUAUACUGGACCGCAUCAGAGAUGGUGUUUCCCUUCGGGGCUGGUAUACAGGUGGUGCAUGGUUGUCGUCAGCUCGUGUCGUGAGAUGUUGGGUUAAGUCCCGCAACGAGCGCAACCCUCGUUCUAUGUUGCCAGCACGUUAUGGUGGGGACUCAUAGGAGACUGCCGGGGUCAACUCGGAGGAAGGUGGGGAUGACGUCAAAUCAUCAUGCCCCUUAUGUCUUGGGCUUCACGCAUGCUACAAUGGCCGGUACAGAGGGUUGCGAUACUGUGAGGUGGAGCUAAUCCCUAAAAGCCGGUCUCAGUUCGGAUUGGGGUCUGCAACUCGACCCCAUGAAGUCGGAGUCGCUAGUAAUCGCAGAUCAGCAACGCUGCGGUGAAUACGUUCCCGGGCCU